AACCUCCGCAAUGUGAGAAAUCGCGACGGGGGGAUCCCAAGUGCCAUUCUUAACGGGAUGGCUUUUCAUUAGUGUAAAGAGCUUUUGGAAUAAGAGCUGGGCAAGACCGGUGCCAGCCGCCGCGGUAACACCGGCAGCUCUGGUGGUAACAAUUUUUAUUGGGCCUAAAGCGUCCGUAGCCGGUUUAAUAAGUCUCUGGUGAAAUCCUGUAGCUUAACUGUGGGAAUUGCUGGAGAUACUAUUAGACUUGAGACCGGGAGAGGUUAGAGGUACUCCCAGGGUAGAGGUGAAAUUCUGUAAUCCUGGGAGGACCGCCUGUUGCGAAGGCGUCUAACUGGAACGGUUCUGACGGUGAGGGACGAAAGUUAGGGGCGCGAACCGGAUUAGAUACCCGGGUAGUCCUAACUGUAAACGAUGCGGACUUGGUGUUGGGGUGGCUUUGAGCUGCUCCAGUGCCGAAGGGAAGCUGUUAAGUCCGCCGCCUGGGAAGUACGGUCGCAAGACUGAAACUUAAAGGAAUU
RNAcentral lists this ribosomal RNA (521 nucleotides) under uncultured bacterium. RNAcentral describes it as "bacterial SSU rRNA". It matches the Rfam family "Archaeal small subunit ribosomal RNA", at positions 345 to 866 of the family's 1478-position model. The record is from RNAcentral.